This 1130-nucleotide long non-coding RNA is filed under the name Daphnia pulicaria. Its description in RNAcentral is "uncharacterized LOC124336573, transcript variant X2". The record is from RNAcentral. Lineage: Eukaryota; Metazoa; Arthropoda; Branchiopoda; Diplostraca; Daphniidae.
UUCUAGGACAAGGGUCGGGACGGGACGCUAGUUGGCUGCCAUAAGAGAACUCAGGUCUCAGACUACUCAAACUAAAAAAAAAAGACCGUUUGUAAUCUAGGGAAAUCAUUUCAUCUGAGCCAACAGUCAACGAUAGGCUAGUUUCGAAAAUUACCAAUGAUUUCAUUGGUUAGCUCGAGUGAUUUCGUCUGUUACUUGUCGGUGAUGUGGUGAUCUGUUCUAUUCCGUGUAUAUGUUGGAUAAUCUUAAUGUUUUUCAUCAACUCACAGUCAGAGGAAACGUGAAGGUCGUGCACCCUAACGUCAACUAUUUUGUUCAAAUUCAUUGUAUUUUACCGAAUGUGUCAUCGAAAUGAUACAGAUUCUAUGCUAGAUAACUGACUCCAGAAUGGAUCAAUCUCUCAUUCCAUCUUCAAGAGAAUCUCGGAUAACUGAUAGGUGAUGGUUUCAUGUGUUUCUAAAUUUGGCGUGACAGACUUUUGAGAAGUUAUGUCCUUUCAAGAAAAAGGACUUACAGUCGACAAGAUUCCUUGUUUGCUAACCCAUUGGCUGCUACCCUUGAAUCUCCCUAUUUGUCAACAACAAAAAAAGAGGCUAAAUAUUAUGUUGCCUAUAAGACCAGAUGUGGGGCAUCUGGUUAUCCCUCCAAAAUAAGGCAAUGACCACACGUUCAACGCGGAUCAUUCGUUUUGUCAUCGAACUUGACUCAUUCCAUCUUCUGAAUUGCUUAGGAAAGCUGAUUGGUGUUACCUGUUCAUUUAGGUAAUGACCGAGAAGAUGCGGCCUACAUGAAAAUCAUUUAGGCGGCCAGCAUCAUUCGACUACCCAACCGGCUUCUACUACCUACCUAACCCUGCUCUCAACACAGCACGGAGUUUUACCCUAUAGAUUUUUGGCUGUUCGCGAUGUGUGAUGGCGUUUGCUUGGACGAUAUGAUGAUUUUGGCGAGAAAAAUAUUGUGUUCCUAAAUUUGCAUGACAAACUUUAUGAAAAGUAAUGUUCUUUCAAGAAAGUCAACAAGGUCCCUUGUUUGCUAACCCAAUGGCUGCUACCCUUGAAUCUCCCGAUUUAGUUCCUUACACAGGCCCUCUUGAUUGGAGGGUAAUCCUUCGCUACUGAUCAUGGACUCCA